RNAcentral lists this non-coding RNA (786 nucleotides) under Sciomyza simplex. Lineage: Eukaryota; Metazoa; Arthropoda; Insecta; Diptera; Sciomyzidae. The record is from RNAcentral.
AUAAAGUUUUAUUUUGGCUUUAUGAUUUAUUAUUAAUUUGUUUUAUAUGUAAAUUUUUGUGUGAAUUUUUAUUUGUUUAAAUAAUAAAUAAAUUUUAUUUUAGUCGCAGUAAUUAGUAUUAUUAAUUAAGGAAACUUAGAAAUAGAAAUAUUAAUUAGUAUUGGCCUAAUUCGUGCCAGCAGCCGCGGUUAUACGAAUAAUGCAAGUAAAUCUUAUCGGUAUAAGUUAAAUUGUUUAAUUAAAAUAAAAGUAAAUUUAUUAGGUGAAAUUUUAAAUUUAUUGAUUUUUUAUUAAAAAAUAUAUUGAAGCUUGAAAAUUUUUAUUAUAAACUAGGAUUAGAUACCCUAUUAUUAAAAAUGUAAUUUAUUAACUUGAGUAGUAUUAGUUAUGUUCUUGAAACUUAAAAAAUUUGGCGGUAUUUUAGUCUAUUCAGAGGAACCUGUUCUGUAAUCGAUAAUCCACGAUGGACCUUUCUUGAGUUUGUAUUCAGUUUAUAUACCGUCGUUAUCAGAAUAUUUUAUAAGAAAAAUAAUUUUCUAUAAAUUUAAUUAAAUUUUAUAUCAGAUCAAGGUGUAGCUUAUACUUAAGUAGAAAUGGGUUACAAUAAAAUUAUUUAUAUGGAUGUAAAUAUGAAAAAUUUACUGAAAGUGGAUUUGAUAGUAAAAUUAUAAAGAUUAAUAAUUUGACCUUAGCUCUAAAAUAUGUACACAUCGCCCGUCGCUCUUAUUAUUAAGAUAAGAUAAGUCGUAACAUAGUAGAUGUACCGGAAGGUGUAUCUAGAAUGAC